GGGUCAGUAGGUUGGUCGUGCCACCGGUACGUACUGGUCCCACUGAUUCCUCCUUCCUGAAGAACCGUAAUGCCAUUAAUUUGGUGUUGCGGGGGAACAGGACUGUUACUUUGAAAAAAUUAGAGUGUUUAAAGCAAGCUAACGCUUGAAUACAUUAGCAUGGAAUAAUGAAAUAGGACGAUCGAUCCUAUUUUGUUGGUUUCUAGGAUUGACGUA
RNAcentral lists this ribosomal RNA (216 nucleotides) under Glomeromycotina sp. RNAcentral describes it as "partial small subunit ribosomal RNA". The stretch from base 44 to 216 matches the Rfam family "Eukaryotic small subunit ribosomal RNA", at positions 690 to 864 of the family's 1831-position model. The record is from RNAcentral. Lineage: Eukaryota; Fungi; Glomeromycota.